Molecule: long non-coding RNA, 352 nt
Organism: Homo sapiens (human)
Lineage: Eukaryota; Metazoa; Chordata; Mammalia; Primates; Hominidae
Exons: 3
Source: RefSeq, a predicted model, not a curated record
GUGAAUUUCCAGCUUCCCUGGGUGGGGUUGAGAUGGGAACUAUGGACCUGUCUUGCUUGGACUGAAGCGGCACCAUGCAGCUGGCCACCUGUGGCUACCUGGCCAUGGACCACAGCGUUCCCACCUCCACAUCAGCCACAGACGCAAAGAGGAGCUGGGGUUCUGCACACCAGAUGUGGGUCAGAUUCCCAGAGAUGCCCAAUUCUGAUGCCAAAGAAAGUCGGGAGACUCGCGAGGGACUUAAAGAGACAGCACAGCUUUUCCAGCAUGCUGAGACCUGAGGGCUGAGUGCAGCUCUUUGGAACUUAAGAAGAAAGAAGUGGGACCAAGGUGAGCAAAGGGACUGGGUGCA